RNAcentral lists this ribosomal RNA (253 nucleotides) under uncultured bacterium. Its description in RNAcentral is "partial 16S ribosomal RNA". It matches the Rfam family "Bacterial small subunit ribosomal RNA", at positions 524 to 776 of the family's 1533-position model. The record is from RNAcentral.
CACGUAGGGGACGAGCGUUGUCCGGAUUCAUUGGGCGUAAAGCGCGCGUAGGCGGCUCGGCAAGUCGGUCGUGAAAUGCCGGGGCUCGACCCCGGGACUGCGUCCGAUACUUCCGGGCUGGAGGUAGGUAGGGGAGAUCGGAAUUCCUGGUGUAGCGGUGAAAUGCGCAGAUAUCAGGAGGAACACCGGUGGCGAAGGCGGAUCUCUGGGCCUUACCUGACGCUGAGGCGCGAAAGCUAGGGGAGCGAACAGG